This 272-nucleotide RNase P RNA is filed under the name Propionibacteriaceae bacterium. RNAcentral's name for it is "partial RNase P RNA component class A". It matches the Rfam family "Bacterial RNase P class A", at positions 106 to 367 of the family's 367-position model. From Rfam's summary of the family: Ribonuclease P (RNase P) is a ubiquitous endoribonuclease, found in archaea, bacteria and eukarya as well as chloroplasts and mitochondria. The record is from RNAcentral. Lineage: Bacteria; Bacillati; Actinomycetota; Actinomycetes; Propionibacteriales; Propionibacteriaceae.
AAAGUGCAACAGAAAGCAGACCGCCGGCUUUCGGGUCGUUAAGGGUGAAACGGUGGUGUAAGAGACCACCAGCGCCCCAGGUGACUGGGGUGGCUCGGUAAACCCCACUCGGAGCAAGACCAAGAAGGCCGGCCCACGGGUCGGCCGCGGACGCCGCUUGAGCGCUGCUCGCGCGAGGCGCCCGGGUAGGUUGCACGAGCCCACCGGCAACGGUGGGCCUCAGAUAGAUGAUCAUCCGUCGACAGAAUCCGGCUUACCGGCCGUCUCGUCCG